This 492-nucleotide ribosomal RNA is filed under the name uncultured bacterium. RNAcentral describes it as "partial 16S ribosomal RNA". It matches the Rfam family "Bacterial small subunit ribosomal RNA", at positions 29 to 507 of the family's 1533-position model. The record is from RNAcentral.
AGUGAACGCUGGCGGUAGGCCUAACACAUGCAAGUCGAACGGCAGCACAGUAAGAGCUUGCUCUUACAGGUGGCGAGUGGCGGACGGGUGAGGAAUACAUCGGAAUCUACUUUUUCGUGGGGGAUAACGUAGGGAAACUUACGCUAAUACCGCAUACGACCUACGGGUGAAAGCAGGGGAUCUUCGGACCUUGCGCAAUUGAAUGAGCCGAUGUCGGAUUAGCUAGUUGGCGGGGUAAAGGCCCACCAAGGCGACGAUCCGUAGCUGGUCUGAGAGGAUGAUCAGCCACACUGGAACUGAGACACGGUCCAGACUCCUACGGGAGGCAGCAGUGGGGAAUAUUGGACAAUGGGCGCAAGCCUGAUCCAGCCAUACCGCGUGGGUGAAGAAGGCCUUCGGGUUGUAAAGCCCUUUUGUUGGGAAAGAAAAGCAGCAGGUUAAUACCCCGCUGUUCUGACGGUACCCAAAGAAUAAGCACCGGCUAACUUCGUG